Molecule: non-coding RNA, 1129 nt
Organism: Nicotiana tabacum (common tobacco)
Lineage: Eukaryota; Viridiplantae; Streptophyta; Magnoliopsida; Solanales; Solanaceae
Source: RefSeq, a predicted model, not a curated record
AAAUGGUGUAUAUUUUUAAACUUUUGUGAUUUAUUUGUGAAAGAGUGGCGGGGGUUUGCCAUUAUAAAUUCGUAUGCCAUUUUGGAAUAUCAGCGAGGGGACAAUUGGGUAAAUCACAUGCGAGAAAGUCUACUUUUCCUAAACCCAGGAAAGAUCGAAAUAAAAUUUUAAAAUUCCUUCAGAUUUGGUUAUAUAUUUUGGGAUUUGGCAAACUUGUCCUUUAUUGAAUUUUAUGGGGGAUUUGGGUUUUUAUUAUUUUCUCUUAAAAAUUACUUACCCUACAGCUCGUGCUGAUAGAACUCUCAACUUUUUGGAUCUAACAUCUCUGGUUGUUCUAUGUCAUGUCCGGGCUUUGGGGAAUUGUAGUGAUUUCAGUAAGAGAUACUCUUUUGGGGGGUUCACUAAUCAGGUAAGUAUAUGUUCAUCCUUUCCUAUAUAUCUUUGAGAAGUAGACGGAGACGAUGAUUCGUAAGUGUCAUUGAUUUGGUACAAAUAGAGUUUUGGGUGAAGCUUGAGGUUUUUGGUGCUUUCUUUACUAUAGUCUUAUUGUGCGACUAAUCCAAUUAAUUAGAUUAUGAUAUUCUCUAGUUUGCAAAUCACUUUGUUUGGAUGAUGGUUGCUUCUGUAAUUUUGCAUGGUAAAAUUAAUCUCUUUUUAGCAUGAAUAUGUUGAUGCUUGAUACCAUUUGGGUUGUUCGUGGUUUGUGGGGCAGGGGAGGAGAUGUGAUGGGAGGGGAGGAAGCAAGGUACUGGAUUUUGUGACUGAAAAUCCAGAUUUAAUUUUUCAAUAGAAAGUAGGCAGCAAUGGAGCUGAAAGACUUCAUGGAGAAACUGGCCUUGUUAUUGGAGUACUAUGGGUAUAGGCCCCUUUUUCCUUGAUGUUUCAAAUUUUGAAGGUGCAUAUAAUUACACUUGAUAGAAUCUGACAUGUUUUGGAUACUUAGUUUGCACGUCAAGAUGUAGGUUUUGAAGACUUCAUUCAAGUUGACGAGUUGAUUAUUAUUUUACAAAGAUUGCUAGGCAAAAUUUUAUACUUUUUGCUAUAGAUGUUAUCUCUUCUGCUAAGAGGUGGUGUAAAUAAUGUAAUGAAUUAUAUCAUAGUCCAGUGAUAGUAUAUUGAGAUGCAAAUC